Molecule: ribosomal RNA, 468 nt
Filed under: uncultured bacterium
Lineage: Bacteria
Description: partial 16S ribosomal RNA
Rfam family: Bacterial small subunit ribosomal RNA
Source: RNAcentral
GAUGAACGCUGGCGGCGUGCUUAACACAUGCAAGUCGAACGGAAAGGCCCUGCUUUUGUUGGGUGCUCGAGUGGCGAACGGGUGAGUAACACGUGAGUGACCUGCCCUGGACUUUGGGAUAACUUCAGGAAACUGGGUCUAAUACCGGAUAGGAGCUCCUGCUGCAUGGUGGGGGUUGGAAAGUUUCGGCGGUUGGGGAUGGACUCGCGGCUUAUCAGUUUGUUGGUGGGGUAGUGGCUUACCAAGGUUUUGACGGGUAGCCGGCCUGAGAGGGUGACCGGCCACAUUGGGACUGAGAUACGGCCCAGACUCCUACGGGAGGCAGCAGUGGGGAAUAUUGCACAAUGGGCGGAAGCCUGAGGCAGCAACGCCGCGUGCGGGAUGAGGGCUUUCGGGUUGUAAACCGCUUUCGCCUGUGACGAAGGGUAAGUGACGGUAACGGGUAAAGAAGCACCGGCUAACUACGUG